RNAcentral lists this ribosomal RNA (515 nucleotides) under uncultured bacterium. RNAcentral's name for it is "partial 16S ribosomal RNA". It matches the Rfam family "Bacterial small subunit ribosomal RNA", at positions 28 to 523 of the family's 1533-position model. The record is from RNAcentral.
GAUGAACGCUGGCGGCGUGCCUAAUACAUGCAAGUCGAGCGAAUGGAUUAAGAGCUUGCUCUUAUGAAGUUAGCGGCGGACGGGUGAGUAACACGUGGGUAACCUGCCCAUAAGACUGGGAUAACUCCGGGAAACCGGGGCUAAUACCGGAUAACAUUUUGAACCGCAUGGUUCGAAAUUGAAAGGCGGCUUCGGCUGUCACUUAUGGAUGGACCCGCGUGGCAUUUGCUAGUUGGUGAGGUAACGGCUCACCAAGGCAACGAUGCGUAGCCGACCUGAGAGGGUGAUCGGCCACACUGGGACUGAGACACGGCCCAGACUCCUACGGGAGGCAGCAGUAGGGAAUCUUCCGCAAUGGACGAAAGUCUGACGGAGCAACGCCGCGUGAGUGAUGAAGGCUUUCGGGUCGUAAAACUCUGUUGUUAGGGAAGAACAAGUGCUAGUUGAAUAAGCCGGCACCUUGACGGUACCUAACCAGAAAGCCACGGCUAACUACGUGCCAGCCGCCGCUGUAA